RNAcentral lists this transfer-messenger RNA (194 nucleotides) under Granulosicoccus sp. It matches the Rfam family "transfer-messenger RNA", at positions 174 to 374 of the family's 374-position model. Rfam says of the family: Bacterial tmRNA, also known as 10Sa RNA or SsrA, is named for its dual tRNA and mRNA-like properties. Its role is to liberate the mRNA from a stalled ribosome. The record is from RNAcentral. Lineage: Bacteria; Pseudomonadati; Pseudomonadota; Gammaproteobacteria; Chromatiales; Granulosicoccaceae.
GGGGCGGGGGCAACAGACACUUCGAUCGCGUGAAGGGUCACCCUUACAAUGGAUCGCUAAACCAACAAUGGGCUCGCCGCUCGGUAUGGUGCCCGUCCUGCACCGUAGCGGCUAAAGCCAAUGAAGAAACUAAGCAUGUAGUACCAAUGGCAGAGUGCUUUCGGACGGGGGUUCGACUCCCCCCAGCUCCACCA